CCCUCACGUGGCGCUAUCUGACUGAACUCCCCCAGGGCCGGAAGUCAGCAAGGGUAGGUUGGCUCUGGCGGGUGCGUGGGGG
RNAcentral lists this signal recognition particle RNA (82 nucleotides) under Streptomyces avermitilis MA-4680 = NBRC 14893. RNAcentral's name for it is "Streptomyces avermitilis MA-4680 Bacterial small signal recognition particle RNA". It matches the Rfam family "Bacterial small signal recognition particle RNA", at positions 9 to 84 of the family's 97-position model. From Rfam's summary of the family: The signal recognition particle (SRP) is a universally conserved ribonucleoprotein involved in the co-translational targeting of proteins to membranes. The record is from Rfam by way of RNAcentral. Lineage: Bacteria; Bacillati; Actinomycetota; Actinomycetes; Kitasatosporales; Streptomycetaceae.